UGGGGAAUCUUGCGCAAUGCGCGAAAGCGUGACGCAGCAACGCCGCGUGGGGGAAGAAGGCCUUCGGGUUGUAAACCUCUUUCAGUUGGGACGAAGUGUGAGCGGUGAAUAGCCGUUUCACAUGACGGUACCUUCACAAGAAGCCCCGGCUAACUACGUGCCAGCAGCCGCGGUAAUACGUAGGGGGCAAGCGUUGUCCGGAAUCAUUGGGCGUAAAGAGCGCGUAGGCGGCCCUGUAAGUCCGCUGUGAAAGUCAAGGGCUCAACCCUUGAAUGCCGGUGGAUACUGCAGGGCUAGAGUCCGGAAGAGGCGAGUGGAAUUCCUGGUGUAGCGGUGAAAUGCGCAGAUAUCAGGAGGAACACCGAUGGCGAAGGCAGCUCGCUGGGACGGUACUGACGCUGAGGCGCGAAAGCGUGGGGAGCAAACAG
Molecule: ribosomal RNA, 428 nt
Filed under: uncultured bacterium
Lineage: Bacteria
Description: bacterial SSU rRNA
Rfam family: Bacterial small subunit ribosomal RNA
Source: RNAcentral